UUGAAAGGGAAACGAUUGAAGUCAGUCGUACCUGCGGAUAAUCAACCUUUAGAUGCGAUUUUGUGGAGUGUGAGGAGCUAAUCGCCUUCAUGCCUGUAUAUUCGUGUACUUGGGGUGUACUUAUUCGUGAGGUAAGUUAACAUCAAUUUUGGUGGUCAUAAAAUGACUGGAGGAAUGUAGCUUCGAUCUCGUAUUGAAGUGUUAUAGCCUUCGGUAGAUGUGAUGAUCGAGAUUGAGGAUUGCAACGGAUACCCUUCGGGGCUACCUGUCUGGUCUCUGAUCGUUGCUCUGGUGCCGAAAGUUUGCUUACGGUUAUCAAAGUCGAUGGUCAAUAGGUUAGAACGGGUUAAAUUCGUUAAGGAUGUUGACGUA
This 372-nucleotide ribosomal RNA is filed under the name uncultured fungus. RNAcentral describes it as "eukaryotic LSU rRNA". The record is from RNAcentral. Lineage: Eukaryota; Fungi.